AUACUUACUUGGCGUAGGGGUUACCGUGAUCAUGAAGGCGGUUCCCCCAGGGCGAGGGCCCUCCAUUGCACUGAGGUUGGCUUGACCCCUGCGAUUAUCCCUAAUGCGGAUAACUCGGGCGCGCAAUUUUUGGUAGUCGGGACUGCGUCCGCGCUGUCCCGG
This is a small nuclear RNA of Sitophilus oryzae (rice weevil), 162 nucleotides long. RefSeq annotates it as U1 spliceosomal RNA. Lineage: Eukaryota; Metazoa; Arthropoda; Insecta; Coleoptera; Curculionidae. The transcript has a single exon. The record is from RefSeq and is a predicted model, not a curated record.